Thielaviopsis punctulata is the source of this 85-nucleotide transfer RNA. It matches the Rfam family "tRNA". From Rfam's summary of the family: Transfer RNA (tRNA) molecules are approximately 80 nucleotides in length. Their secondary structure includes four short double-helical elements and three loops (D, anti-codon, and T loops). Lineage: Eukaryota; Fungi; Ascomycota; Sordariomycetes; Microascales; Ceratocystidaceae. The record is from Rfam.
GGGCGGUUGGUUUAGGGGUAUAACGUUUGCUUCGCAUUUCCUGCGAUCCUGCGAAAGGUCACGGGUUCGAUUCCCGUACUGUCCA